Long non-coding RNA from Oncorhynchus tshawytscha (Chinook salmon), 110 nucleotides. RefSeq lists it as uncharacterized. NCBI's taxonomy places the organism in Eukaryota, Metazoa, Chordata, Actinopteri, Salmoniformes, Salmonidae. The transcript has 3 exons. The record is from RefSeq and is a predicted model, not a curated record.
GUGUAAUGUAGGUAAUGUAGCCUAGGUCAGUGUAAUGUAGCCUGGGUCAGUGUAAUGUAGGUAAUGUAGCCUAGGUUAGUGUAAUGUAGGUAAUGUAGCCUAGGUCAGUG